RNAcentral lists this ribosomal RNA (460 nucleotides) under uncultured bacterium. Its description in RNAcentral is "partial 16S ribosomal RNA". It matches the Rfam family "Bacterial small subunit ribosomal RNA", at positions 338 to 795 of the family's 1533-position model. The record is from RNAcentral.
CCUACGGGUGUCAGCAGUGAGGAAUAUUGGUCAAUGGGCUCGAGCCUGAACCAGCCAAGUAGCGUGAAGGAUGACUGCCCUACGGGUUGUACACUUCUUUUAUCAAGGAAUAAAGUGAGGCACGUGUGCCUUUUUGUAUGUACUUUAUGAAUAAGGAUCGGCUAACUCCGUGCCAGCAACCGCGGUAAUACGGAGGAUCCGAGCGUUAUCCGGAUUUAUUUGGUUUAAAGGGAGCGUAGAGGGGUUGUUAAGUCAGUUGUGAAAGUUUGCGGCUCAACCGUAAAAUUGCAAUUGAUACUGGCAGCCUUGAGUACAGUUGAGGUAGGCGGAAUUCGUGGUGUAGCGGUGAAAUGCUUAGAUAUCACGAAGAACUCCGAUUGCGAAGGCAGCCUACUAAACUGCCACUGACAUUGAUGCUCGAAAGUGUGGGUAUCAAACAGGAUUAGAUACCCCUGUAGUC